This is a non-coding RNA of Pangasianodon gigas (Mekong giant catfish), 74 nucleotides long. NCBI's taxonomy places the organism in Eukaryota, Metazoa, Chordata, Actinopteri, Siluriformes, Pangasiidae. The record is from the annotation of a GenBank genome assembly.
AGUUUGACCGCACGCACAGAAGCUCUUAAAAACGGCAAUAUCCCAAAUCAGCACAAAACGAGCGCUCUGAAGUU